GACGAACGCUGGCGGCGUGCUUAACACAUGCAAGUCGAACGGAAAGGCCCUGCUUUUGUGGGGUGCUCGAGUGGCGAACGGGUGAGUAACACGUGAGUAACCUGCCCUUGACUUUGGGAUAACUUCAGGAAACUGGGGCUAAUACAGGAUAGGAGCUCCUGCUGCAUGGUGGGGGUUGGAAAGUUUCGGCGGUUGGGGAUGGACUCGCGGCUUAUCAGCUUGUUGGUGGGGUAGUGGCUUACCAAGGCUUUGACGGGUAGCCGGCCUGAGAGGGUGACCGGCGACAUUGGGACUGAGAUACGGCCCAGACUCCUACGGGAGGCAGCAGUGGGGAAUAUUGCACAAUGGGCGGAAGCCUGAUGCAGCAACGCCGCGUGCGGGAUGACGGCCUUCGGGUUGUAAACCGCUUUCGCCUGUGACGAAGCGUGAGUGACGGUAAUGGGUAAAGAAGCACCGGCUAACUACGUG
This 468-nucleotide ribosomal RNA is filed under the name uncultured bacterium. RNAcentral describes it as "partial 16S ribosomal RNA". It matches the Rfam family "Bacterial small subunit ribosomal RNA", at positions 28 to 507 of the family's 1533-position model. The record is from RNAcentral.